GGAGGGAUGGCCGAGCGGUUUAUGGCAACUGACUUGAAAUCAGUCGUGGCGCAAGUCACCGGGGGUUCGAAUCCCUCUCCCUCCG
This 85-nucleotide transfer RNA is filed under the name Anaerolineae bacterium. RNAcentral's name for it is "tRNA-Ser". It matches the Rfam family "tRNA". From Rfam's summary of the family: Transfer RNA (tRNA) molecules are approximately 80 nucleotides in length. Their secondary structure includes four short double-helical elements and three loops (D, anti-codon, and T loops). Lineage: Bacteria; Bacillati; Chloroflexota; Anaerolineae. The record is from RNAcentral.